Notechis scutatus (mainland tiger snake) is the source of this 3541-nucleotide non-coding RNA. The record is from RefSeq and is a predicted model, not a curated record. NCBI's taxonomy places the organism in Eukaryota, Metazoa, Chordata, Lepidosauria, Squamata, Elapidae.
UUACUCGCAAUACCAUAGGCAACUUUGCUUUAGUGACUAUCAAUCAAACAAUAUGGAGUUUCUAUUGUAAAGAAAUAUUGGAGGAAAUAUGGAAGUCUUGAAGAAAAAGUGAAAUAUAAACCUAAUAAAGAAAUAAAAUAAAGCCUUAUGUUUUCCUGACUUGGAUUAUAAUUUACAUCUAUGUUAAUACAACAGAGAGUUUAAAUAGUUAAUUUAUUAUACUCAGUAAUAGGAAACAAAGGAUAAUAACUACAGACAAGUCUGUGGAGGUGUGGUUAUUAAUGGAAAUUUAAUUACACUAUCAUUCAUGGAUGUGAAAGUUAACAUGCACUUAGAUUAUGCUUUUUUCUAUGACCUUUUAGGAACUGAAAACCAACAUAGAUGUACAAGAGUUAUGUAACAUGGAUAAACAAAAAUUGAAGUGGUAUAAUACUUUAUAACUGCCCAGUGUUACUGUGAAUAAUGUCUAUUCUUCAGAUUACAGAAUUUGGCAUACAGAAGAGGAGAGAAAGGUGUGGACUUAUUGAAAGAAGUUUUAUAAAUUAAAGACAGAACCAUCAUGUUUUCCUACACAUCAUCUUCACCCAAAACAAAACAAUUUGAAAGAUGUUGCAGUUGAAAAUCAGGAAAAUUAAGAAGAUAAAAAGGCCAAAGAAGCUGUUUGACAAAUUAACAACGGUAAUACAAAGACAUUGAACACCAUCUACAUGUUAAAAAAAAACAGUAUGUACAGUAUUUUAAAUUUUCAGAGGCUGUUCAAAAUUUGCAUCAGGAAUAUCCAACAGGUCCCUUAGUCAACCCAAUGAUACCAUGCAGUAGAAGACCAAGGAAUAGGCAACAGAGUGAAAUAAUCUACUUUAUAAGCUAUUCAAUCACUAGAUAUAAGCCCUUAUUUGCCAAAUUUUCCAAGGAUAGUCAAAAAGAUCAACUGCCGGUGAAGAAAAUGGUCUCAGUAUACAUCCGGAAAAGAAAAGGCUUCAUUUGGGAAAACUGUUUGGUCCAAACCACAUCUUAAAUAAGAAUGGUUCAAAUACUAAUUUAAGUAUGGAAGGUAGGGAGGAAAAAGCUUUGCAGAAUAAAAAAAAUCCUUAUGAUGAGGUUUGAAACACAAAUCAUGGCUUUCAGUGUGAUGAUUCCAGUCAAGCCCAUAAAUAUUUUUCAGAAAAUUGCCUUCUUGGAGAAUCUUAAUUGUUUUCUUUUUUCACCUCAUACCCAGUGUUUUUAACUACUGAAAAAAAUGUUUUAAAGCAUAACUGUAGAUUUUAGAACUAAUAGAUAUUACAUACUAGAUAUUAGAUAGUAUUAGAACUAGAUGGUAUUAGUUAGGAGAUAUUUGAUAGUAUUAGAAUUAGGAGAUAUUAGUAGAUAUUAGUAUUAUAACCAGGAGAUAUUAGAUAGUAGAUUUGAUAUGAUAUGGAUUUCUAGAAGUCUUGUAAACAAAAUUUUAAAAGUUGACAUUUUACCUAAAUCCUUCUUUGAAAGGUUUUUUAGAACUUAGAAAAAAGAACUAUAGGUGAAGUUUAAAUGAAUCUAUUUUACAAAAGGAAAUGAUUGUAAAUUUUUUAAAAAAGAAAUUAAAUGAAUGUUUUGAUAACAAUCUGGGUAAAGGGACAAAUUCAAUGACUGUCUAGAAUGCUAGUAAAGCAGAAUCGCCUAGAGGAGAAAAAAAUCCCAGGAAAAGAUUGGAUGAAAUUAGACAGAAAGAAACUGAAUUGCAAAAGACACCUCUGGACUCUAAAAUUUUACAUCAAAUUAAAUUGCUACAGCAAGAAAAGUCUAUGCUAACUAACAGUUUAAGAAAUAGAAAGUGUGAAACAAAGACAUUUUGAGUUUGCAAAUGAAUCAGGAAAAUGGCUGGCGUAUAAAUUAGGGUUGGGGAAAGAGAAUAAUGGAAAAGAAUCACAAAGGUAAUAAUCUGAAUUGGUUGAGUUCAUUAGUCGGAACCCUGACAAAGAGAUAAUGAUCUUAUGUCUUUUCAUAAUUUCUAUUCCAAUCUUUACAAAAAGCAGGAGCUUGAUAUGUAUAAAAUAGACUAAUAUAUGUCAAGAUAACCUUUACCUAAACCUUCACAUUGCAGCCAUCAUAAAUAUGAGUCAAUUGUCAAGUGUCUGAAUUUUGAUCAUGCGUUGAUGUCAAUGUUACAAGGUUCUAAGUGUGAAAAACAGUCACGGGUCACUUUUUUUCAGUGCCAUUGCAACUUUGAACAUUCACUAAAUGAAUUGUUAUAAGUCAAGUCAAUUUGUACCAAAUAGUGUGAAUCUAAAGGACAAAAUCAGAAAGGAUAAGGUUCAGAAUGAACAAGCAACAAAUGCUAAUGCUAAUAAUAAUAAAAAAUUUCUUUUAACAUGUAUACAAGAAAAAACUGAAGGAAAUGAUUGGUUCACUAAUGGAAGAUGGCAAGGAGGUGACAGAUAGCAAAGAGAAACAAGUGCUAAAAUUUAUUCUUUGCAUCCAUCUUUACACAAAAGGAAAACUAAUGUAUCAAAAGCAGUAUCAUAAAAAUCAGAAUAGGAAUACAGGCCAAAAUAAGCAAUAAAAUGGUAAGAGAACACCUGUACACAGUAAAAGAGUUCAAAUCGGCAGUCCCAGCUGGAGUGUAUCCCAGGUUUCUGAAGGAGUUGGUAGAUGUGAUCUCGGAACUAUUGAAUUAAAUCUUUCAAAGCUCCAGGAGCACCAGAGGACUGGAAAAGAGCUGUUGUGGUUCCAGUCUUCAAAAAGCGGAAAACUAGAGGCUAGCCAGCUUGACAUCAAUACCUGGGAAAAUUCUCAUAAAGAUAAUCAAGCAACAGAUCUGCAAACAACUAGAAACAAGCAAAGCUAUUACUAAAAGCCCUUAUGGGUUUGUUAAAAAAAGAUCAUGUCUGAUUACACCUAAUUAUAUUCUUUGACAAAAAUGAUAAAAUUAGUGGAUCAGGGAAAUGUUGUGGACAUAGUUUAUUUAGUGAGGUAUUUGACAAAGAAGACUAUAUAGCUUACCUCUUGGUAAGUUUGAAAAAUGUGGGAUAGACAGCUUCACCACCAGAUAGAUUUGCAACUGGCUGACCAAGUCCAUUCAAUAUGCAUUCUUCAAUGGAACUACAUCUAAAUUAACACCUCAAGGUUCUGUCUUAAUCCACUACUCCUGAAUAUCUUCAUAAAUGAUUUAAAUGAUGGGAUAGAAGGGUAACUCAUCAAAUUUGCAGAAGACACCAAGCCGCCAACAUUUUAGAAAAUAGACACAAAAUUGAGAAAGAUCUUGACAGAGUUGAACAUUGGGCCCUAUCCAACAAAAUGCAAUUCAGUGGUGAGAAAAUGUCUCACAUUAGGAAGAAAAGCCAAAUGUGUAAGUAUAGAAUAGGUGGUACCUGGCUCAACAGCAGCAACUGUGAGAAUGAUCUAGGAAUCCUAGUGGACAACUACUUAAGUAUGAAGCAGCAGUGUGCUGCAGUUGCCAAAAAAAGCCAAUGCAGUCUUAGACUGCACCAACAGAAGGAUAGUAUCAAGCUCAUGCAGUGAUAGUAUUGCUUUAUAGUGCACGAGUACAUCUGCAUUUGGAAUAUUG